RNAcentral lists this microRNA (24 nucleotides) under Bombyx mori (domestic silkworm). RNAcentral describes it as "bmo-miR-2809". The record is from miRBase by way of RNAcentral. Lineage: Eukaryota; Metazoa; Arthropoda; Insecta; Lepidoptera; Bombycidae.
GAAACAGCGAACGGAUCACCUGAU